AUUGAACGCUGGCGGAAUGCUUUGCACAUGCAAGUCGAACGGCAGCACGGACUUCGGUCUGGUGGCGAGUGGCGAACGGGAGAGUAAUGUAUCGGAACGUGCCCAGUCGUGGGGGAUAACGAAGUGAAAAUUACGCUAAUACCGCAUACGAUCUAUGGAUGAAAGGCGGGGAUCGCAAGACCUCGCGCGCUUGGAGCGGCCGAUAUCAGAUUAGGUAGUUGGUGGGGUAAAGGCCCACCAAGACAACGAUCUGUAGCUGGUCUGAGAGGACGAGCAGCCGCACUGGAACUGAGACACGGUCCAGACUCCUACGGGAGGCAGCAGUGGGUAAGUUUGGACAAUGGGCGAAAGCCUGAUCCAGCCAUUCCGCGUGCAGGAUGAAGGCCCUCGGGUUGUAAACUGCUUUUGUACAGAACGAAAAGGUUUCUACUAAUACUAGGAGCUCAUGACGGUACUGUAAGAAUAAGCACCGGCUAACUACGUGCCAGCCGCCGCAGUAA
Molecule: ribosomal RNA, 500 nt
Filed under: uncultured bacterium
Lineage: Bacteria
Description: partial 16S ribosomal RNA
Rfam family: Bacterial small subunit ribosomal RNA
Source: RNAcentral